GUUGAUAUUGCCUCAUCUUAUUUAUUUAUUUUUUUUAUAAAAAAGACAAAGGGAAAGAAAAAAACUUAUAUAGACACGAGAAGAAAACGAAACAUCCGAACAAUCUCCUUGCAAAAGCGGAAGAAGGCUAGGCAGCGAAUUAGAGAGGCGAGAUAAGCCGAUAGGAAAACCAUGAGCCAGUUUAGAAAGGAAAUCUGCACAAGCAUUGGCCUUUCUAUAAACAUGAUGAAAAUCAAGCUUCCACUUAUGAUGACGCAAAUGGCAGAUAGAAUCUAAAAUAGAGCCAUGAUUAUUCAAAGAAACCGAAGAACUUUACACAACUUGAUAA
Molecule: unclassified non-coding RNA, 328 nt
Filed under: Hevea brasiliensis (rubber tree)
Lineage: Eukaryota; Viridiplantae; Streptophyta; Magnoliopsida; Malpighiales; Euphorbiaceae
Source: RNAcentral